RNAcentral lists this ribosomal RNA (306 nucleotides) under Triticum aestivum (bread wheat). Its description in RNAcentral is "partial small subunit ribosomal RNA". Lineage: Eukaryota; Viridiplantae; Streptophyta; Magnoliopsida; Poales; Poaceae. The record is from RNAcentral.
AUGCUGAAUAAGACCGAAAAUUUAGCAUGCAAGGGAGCAGCACCUCUGAUGGGAUCAUUCCGAAUUCUGGCAACAUUUCCAGAGUUUAAGAUCACUUCCCUACCUGCCAAAUAUUUUUUUCUUUACUUUCAUAAUAGCUUUCCAGACGGGGGAAUCCUCAAAUUUACUUUUCACAGAGGGGACCGUAUCAUUUCUGAAAUACUUAGCACGAAUUACCUCCUGCCAAAGGCCUUGCUGGGUUUCCAGUUUCCACCACCACUUGGUGAGGAGACUGAUAUUCUGUCUAUGCAGAUCUUUAACUCCUAA